UCUGGGACACUGUUGACCUAAGCUACUUUAGAAUGUUUGUGCAAUAGCUUUUGACCACUUGAUUAAAAAUGUCGUUUGAUGCUGGAGCGGCCGUGUCCUAGCAAGGGGCAGUUCAGACUGGUCUGAGCAGAGCAACAUGUUGCCGCAUGAAGGGAGGGCUCUUAUGAAGAGCUGCACCUUGACAGUUGAGGAUGAAUGCCAGACAGUGAAAUGGAAACAAGCAGUCUGAGAAUCCUCCCGGUGUGAAAACAUGACGAACAUCUCACAACACUGUACCAUCUGGGGGCCUGCAAUAAGCUCAAGUUGGAAAAAUGCCUGAGACGCAACCCCCACACUGAGUCUCCCUCUGCCUGAUCUCUGGUGCAUCCUCCCAGAUCAACCUAUCAGAAGACAUCCCUCUUCCACCACAACCCUCCAGUUACACCCAUUCACCAGUCCUCAGCAACUAACACCUCCUGAAUUACAAUAAA
Epinephelus lanceolatus (giant grouper) is the source of this 470-nucleotide long non-coding RNA. RefSeq lists it as uncharacterized. The record is from RefSeq and is a predicted model, not a curated record. Lineage: Eukaryota; Metazoa; Chordata; Actinopteri; Perciformes; Serranidae.